RNAcentral lists this ribosomal RNA (253 nucleotides) under uncultured bacterium. RNAcentral's name for it is "partial 16S ribosomal RNA". It matches the Rfam family "Bacterial small subunit ribosomal RNA", at positions 524 to 776 of the family's 1533-position model. The record is from RNAcentral.
UACGGAAGGGGCAAGCGUUGUUCGGAAUCAUUGGGCGUAAAGGGUGCGUAGGCGGCGCGGUAAGUCGGGUGUGAAAUCUCGGAGCUUAACUCCGAAACUGCAUUCGAUACUGCCGUGCUUGAGGACUGGAGAGGAGACUGGAAUUUACGGUGUAGCGGUGAAAUGCGUAGAUAUCAGGAGGAACACCUAUUGCGAAGGCAGCUCGCUGGGACGUAACUGACGCUGAGACGCGAAAGCGUGGGGAGCAAACAGG